Molecule: ribosomal RNA, 303 nt
Filed under: uncultured bacterium
Lineage: Bacteria
Description: partial 16S ribosomal RNA
Rfam family: Bacterial small subunit ribosomal RNA
Source: RNAcentral
AGCAGUAGCCACGGUAAUACGAAGGGUGCAAGCGUUAAUCGGAAUUACUGGGCGUAAAGCGUGCGUAGGCGGUUUGUUAAGUCUGUUGUGAAAUCCCCGGGCUCAACCUGGGAAUGGCAAUGGAUACUGGCAAGCUAGAGUGUGUCAGAGGAUGGUGGAAUUCCCGGUGUAGCGGUGAAAUGCGUAGAGAUCGGGAGGAACAUCAGUGGCGAAGGCGGCCAUCUGGGACAACACUGACGCUGAGGCACGAAAGCGUGGGGAGCAAACAGGAUUAGAUACCCCGGUAGUCCCUGUCUCUUAUAA